GAUGAACGCUAGCGGCAGGCUUAAUACAUGCAAGUCAAGGGGGUAGCAAUACAACCGGCGCACGGGUGAGUAACGCGUACACAACAUACCAUAUACUGGAGUAUAGCUUCGGGAAACUGAAGGUAAUCCUCCAUAACAUUGCGAGAAGGCAUCUAAUUGCAAUUAAAGUUUCGACGGUAUAUGAUUGGUGUGCGUUUGAUUAGCUAGUUGGUAGGGUAACGGCCUACCAAGGCGACGAUCAAUAGCUGGCGUGAGAGCGCGACCAGCCACACUGGAACUGAGACACGGUCCAGACUCCGUACGGGAGGCAGCAGUAGGGAAUAUUGGACAAGUGGCGAAAGCCUGAUCCAGCCAUGCCGCGUGAUAGAU
RNAcentral lists this ribosomal RNA (369 nucleotides) under uncultured bacterium. RNAcentral's name for it is "bacterial SSU rRNA". It matches the Rfam family "Bacterial small subunit ribosomal RNA", at positions 28 to 409 of the family's 1533-position model. The record is from RNAcentral.